UUUUAUUUCCUAGGGGGAAUAACUUUUCGAGUACACAGCAUGAACCAGCGUACAGCUAUGAUCAUUCUUUGCUGAAUAACUUGGGACAUUAGCUGAGGAGUGGGCACUAUAUUUAAACCUGUGUAUGGGAAUUCUCCCCAUUCUAGGUUACGCUGUAGUGCAAAAGAAUUCCUGGCUCUUUUCUGUUGCACAGCUGAUAUUGCCAUUCUGCUGUUGCUGGAUGGGGUUAAGGAACAUAAUUUUAUUUAGCCUUUAUUAUGAUAGUAAAAAUGGUUGGGAUAUAUGAAAACUUCCACACACUUGAAAGCAAAAUCUCAAGAUAAUUUCAAACAAUUUUAAAUUAUAAAUGUUAAUUUAUAUGAUGGUUCUGUCCCCCUUAUUCUCAAGAGAAAGUACUAAAAAAUCAAUGGAAUGGACUUGAGUUUUCUAGAAAAUUUGCAAAGAAGUGUAUAUGCUAUAUUAUACUGUAUUUUAAAGAGUUAUCUUGUUUCCAGAGAUAUACAGUGAUCUGGAAAAUGGUACAAUCUGAAAUAGAGAUUAUGAUCUUGGUUACAUUUCUCCAUGUCUGUCAUCUUGAAGGAUUUAGAAGCAUAAAUCAAAAAGAUUUUUUUUUUUUUGAGUUUUCAUUUGAAUUGCAGUUGGCUUCAACCUACCUAACAUUUUCAGACUUUUAAAAUACUUUUCUGUGGGAGCAUACAUCACACUUUUAAUCUUGCGUAUACUUGUAUUUUGUGUGAUGUAGUUAUAUUACCUAUAAAAAUAAAAUGUAA
Long non-coding RNA from Pipistrellus kuhlii (Kuhl's pipistrelle), 770 nucleotides. RefSeq lists it as uncharacterized. Lineage: Eukaryota; Metazoa; Chordata; Mammalia; Chiroptera; Vespertilionidae. The transcript is spliced from 2 exons. The record is from RefSeq and is a predicted model, not a curated record.